AUUGAACGCUGGCGGCAUGCCUUACACAUGCAAGUCGAACGGCAGCGGGGGAGAAGCUUGCUUUUCCUGCCGGCGAGUGGCGAACGGGUGAGUAAUACAUCGGAACGUGCCCUGUAGUGGGGGAUAACUAGUCGAAAGAUUAGCUAAUACCGCAUACGACCUGAGGGUGAAAGUGGGGGACCGCAAGGCCUCAUGCUAUAGGAGCAGCCGAUGUCUGGUUAGCUAGUUGGUGGGGUAAAGGCCUACCAAGGCGACGAUCAGUAGCUGGUCUGAGAGGACGAUCAGCCACACUGGGACUGAGACACGGCCCAGACUCCUACUGGAGGCAGCAGUGGGGAAUUUUGGGCAAUGGGCGAAAGCCUGAUCCAGCAAUGCCGCGUGUGUGAAGAAGGCCUUCGGGUUGUAAAGCACUUUUGUCCGGAAAGAAAUGGCUCUGGUUAAUACCUGGGGUCGAUGACGGUACCGGAAGAAUAAGGACCGGCUAACUACGUGCCAGCAGCCGCCGUAA
Molecule: ribosomal RNA, 508 nt
Filed under: uncultured bacterium
Lineage: Bacteria
Description: partial 16S ribosomal RNA
Rfam family: Bacterial small subunit ribosomal RNA
Source: RNAcentral